Myotis davidii is the source of this 76-nucleotide non-coding RNA. Lineage: Eukaryota; Metazoa; Chordata; Mammalia; Chiroptera; Vespertilionidae. The record is from Rfam.
GGUGGUUCUUGGGUAACACACCCUGGAAUUGAGUUCCCUCCUCACUGGUUCCAGGGUGCGUCACCUGAGAACCAAU